Molecule: ribosomal RNA, 253 nt
Filed under: uncultured bacterium
Lineage: Bacteria
Description: partial 16S ribosomal RNA
Rfam family: Bacterial small subunit ribosomal RNA
Source: RNAcentral
UACGAAGGGGGCUAGCGUUGUUCGGAAUUACUGGGCGUAAAGGGCUCGUAGGCGGCCAACUAAGUCAUACGUGAAAUCCCUCAGCUUAACUGGGGAACUGCGUGUGAUACUGGAUGGCUUGGAUUUGGGAGAGGGAUGCGGAAUUCCAGGUGUAGCGGUGAAAUGCGUAGAUAUCUGGAGGAACACCGGUGGCGAAAGCGGCAUCCUGGACCGGCAUUGACGCUGAGGCGCGAAAGCCAGGGGAGCAAACGGG